UUGUGUUGCUCCAUAGGUUGAGAAGGGACCAAAAUAUUAUCAAAGGAAGCAAAAUUUGUCAAGCAAGGCCAAGGUACCUCAUUUGUUGUAGCUUGAAGGAUAGACGAUCUUUGCAAGGCAUGCAAAGGGGGCUCGGCCUCCUCCUCUUUUGAACUACUUCCGGCCUCAUCAUCAGGUUCAAGCUCUUCCCUUUCUUCUUCU
RNAcentral lists this long non-coding RNA (201 nucleotides) under Phoenix dactylifera (date palm). RNAcentral describes it as "long non-coding RNA (PDAC_LNC001046)". The record is from RNAcentral. Lineage: Eukaryota; Viridiplantae; Streptophyta; Magnoliopsida; Arecales; Arecaceae.